CCUACGGGAGGCAGCAGUGAGGAAUAUUGGUCAAUGGACGAGAGUCUGAACCAGCCAAGUAGCGUGAAGGAUGACUGCCCUAUGGGUUGUAAACUUCUUUUAUAUGGGAAUAAAAUGUUCCACGUGUGGGAUUUUGUAUGUACCAUAUGAAUGAGGAUCGGCUAACUCCGUGCCAGCAGCCGCGGUAAUACGGAGGAUCCGAGCGUUAUCCGGAUUUAUUGGGUUUAAAGGGAGCGUAGGUGGAUUGUUAAGUCAGUUGUGAAAGUUUGCGGCUCAACCGUAAAAUUGCAGUUGAAACUGGCAGUCUUGAGUACAGUAGAGGUGGGCGGAAUUCGUGGUGUAGCGGUGAAAUGCUUAGAUAUCACGAAGAACUCCGAUUGCGAAGGCAGUUCACUGGACUGCAACUGACACUGAGGCUCGAAAGUGUGGGUAUCAAACAGGAUUAGAUACCCGAGUAGUC
Molecule: ribosomal RNA, 460 nt
Filed under: uncultured bacterium
Lineage: Bacteria
Description: partial 16S ribosomal RNA
Rfam family: Bacterial small subunit ribosomal RNA
Source: RNAcentral